Non-coding RNA from Pelobates cultripes (western spadefoot toad), 85 nucleotides. NCBI's taxonomy places the organism in Eukaryota, Metazoa, Chordata, Amphibia, Anura, Pelobatidae. The record is from the annotation of a GenBank genome assembly.
CAGCACUCCAGAUGUUUUGGACUACACCUCCCAUGAUGCUUUGCCAGCAUUAUGGGGGAUGUAGUCCACAACAUCUGGAGUGCCA